Molecule: unclassified non-coding RNA, 263 nt
Filed under: plant metagenome
Description: partial contains small subunit ribosomal RNA, internal transcribed spacer 1, and 5.8S ribosomal RNA
Source: RNAcentral
UUUCCGUAGGUGAACCUGCGGAAGGAUCAUUAUUGUAUAACCGAGGUGCGAGGGCUGUCGCUGUCCCGAAAGGUCGUGCACGCCCGAGUGCCCUCACACACAUCCAUCUCACCCCUAAGUGCACCACCGCGUGGGUCCCCCUUUGGCUUGUUCGGAGGGGGGCUUACGUUUUCACACAAACUUUGUAUGCAGUGUAGAAUGUAUUUUUUGUUUUUGCGAUCACGCAAUCAAUACAACUUUCAACAACGGAUCUCUUGGCUCUC